This 481-nucleotide ribosomal RNA is filed under the name uncultured bacterium. RNAcentral describes it as "bacterial SSU rRNA". It matches the Rfam family "Bacterial small subunit ribosomal RNA", at positions 28 to 521 of the family's 1533-position model. The record is from RNAcentral.
GAUGAACGCUGGCGGCGUGCUUAACACAUGCAAGUCGAACGGACCUUUGAUGAAGCCUAGCGAUUUAAAGGUUAGUGGCGGACGGGUGAGUAACGCGUGGGUAACCUGCCUUAUACAGGGGGAUAACACUUAGAAAUAGGUGCUAAUACCGCAUAAGCGCACAGUAUCGCAUGAUACAGUGUGAAAAACUCCGGUGGUAUAAGAUGGACCCGCGUCUGAUUAGCUAGUUGGUGAGGUAACGGCUCACCAAGGCGACGAUCAGUAGCCGGCCUGAGAGGGUGAACGGCCACAUUGGGACUGAGACACGGCCCAAACUCCUACGGGAGGCAGCAGUGGGGAAUAUUGCACAAUGGGGGAAACCCUGAUGCAGCGACGCCGCGUGAGUGAAGAAGUAUUUCGGUAUGUAAAGCUCUAUCAGCAAGGAGAAAAUGACGGUACUUGACUAAGAAGCCCCGGCUAACUACGUGCCAGCAGCCGCGGU